UGCAGUUAGGUGACGGCCUAACUGUAGGGAUGUGCGUUGAAUAACAUCUUCGUCCACUGAUGUAAAACGGCGUGUCACAGGUGGAGCUGAGGCCACCCUUCUGGUAACAGUAGGGAGCCACAUCACUCAAUCCAGAGUGGGACACGGCAGGGAGGGAACGAAUGCCAAUAACUGGAGUGAGUACCCCAAACUUGUAGGUAAUCCAGAGUCCUACCAUCCCCCGA
RNAcentral lists this non-coding RNA (224 nucleotides) under unclassified sequences. RNAcentral's name for it is "manA RNA". It matches the Rfam family "manA RNA". From Rfam's summary of the family: manA RNA has been located in 5'UTR regions of genes of mannose or fructose metabolism. The record is from RNAcentral.